Molecule: ribosomal RNA, 497 nt
Filed under: uncultured bacterium
Lineage: Bacteria
Description: partial 16S ribosomal RNA
Rfam family: Bacterial small subunit ribosomal RNA
Source: RNAcentral
GAUGAACGCUGGCGGCGUGCCUAAUACAUGCAAGUCGAGCGAACGGACGAGAAGCUUGCUUCUCUGAUGUUAGCGGCGGACGGGUGAGUAACACGUGGAUAACCUACCUAUAAGACUGGGAUAACUUCGGGAAACCGGAGCUAAUACCGGAUAAUAUUUUGAACCGCAUGGUUCAAAAGUGAAAGACGGUCUUGCUGUCACUUAUAGAUGGAUCCGCGCUGCAUUAGCUAGUUGGUAAGGUAACGGCUUACCAAGGCAACGAUGCAUAGCCGACCUGAGAGGGUGAUCGGCCACACUGGAACUGAGACACGGUGCAGACUCCUACGGGAGGCAGCAGUAGGGAAUCUUCCGCAGUGGGCGAAAGCCUGACGGAGCAACGCCGCGUGAGUGAUGAAGGUCUUCGGAUCGUAAAACUCUGUUAUUAGGGAAGAACAGAUGUGUAAGUAACUGUGCACAUCUUGACGGUACCUAAUCAGAAAGCCACGGCUAACUACGUG